RNAcentral lists this ribosomal RNA (460 nucleotides) under uncultured bacterium. Its description in RNAcentral is "partial 16S ribosomal RNA". It matches the Rfam family "Bacterial small subunit ribosomal RNA", at positions 338 to 795 of the family's 1533-position model. The record is from RNAcentral.
CCUACGGGAGGCAGCAGUGAGGAAUAUUGGUCAAUGGGCGCGAGCCUGAACCAGCCAAGUCGCGUGAAGGAUGACUGCCCUACGGGUUGUAAACUUCUUUUAUAAAGGAAUAAAGUGAGUCACGUGUGCCUUUUUGUAUUUACUUUAUGAAUAAGGCUCGGCUAACUCCGUGCCAUCAGCCGCGGUAAUACGGAGGAUCCGAGCGUUAUCCGGAUUUAUUGGGUUUAAAGGGAGCGUAGAUGGGUUGUUAAGUCAGUUGUGAAAGUUUGCGGCUCAACCGUAAAAUUGCAAUUGAUACUGGCAGUCUUGAGUACAGUUGAGGUAGGCGGAAUUCGUGGUGUAGCGGUGAAAUGCUUAGAUAUCACGAAGAACUCCGAUUGCGAAGGCAGCUUACUAAACUGCAACUGACAUUGAUGCUCGAAAGUGUGGGUAUCAAACAGGAUUAGAUACCCCUGUAGUC